UGCCUACGGGGGGCAGCAGUGAGGAAUAUUGGUCAAUGGCCGAGAGGCUGAACCAGCCAAGUCGCGUGAGGAAUGACGGCCCUACGGGUUGUAAACCUCUUUUGUCGGGGAGCAAAGAGAGUCACGUGUGGCUCAUUGAGAGUACCCGAAGAAAAAGCAUCGGCUAACUCCGUGCCAGCAGCCGCGGUAAUACGGAGGAUCCGAGCGUUAUCCGGAUUUAUUGGGUUUAAAGGGAGCGUAGGUGGAUUGUUAAGUCAGUUGUGAAAGUUUGCGGCUCAACCGUAAAAUUGCAGUUGAAACUGGCA
This 305-nucleotide ribosomal RNA is filed under the name uncultured bacterium. RNAcentral describes it as "bacterial SSU rRNA". It matches the Rfam family "Bacterial small subunit ribosomal RNA", at positions 335 to 638 of the family's 1533-position model. The record is from RNAcentral.